AUGUUUUUUGGUAUAUUAAUGAAAAAUUUGACCUGCUCACUGUGAUUUAAUAAAGAGCUGCAGUAUUUUGACUGUACAAAGGUAGCAUAAUCAUUAGUCUUUUAAUUGAUGACUAGUAUGAAAGGUUCGACGAAGAGAUACUCUCUAAGAUUUAAUUGUUAAAGUUUUCUUUUUUGUUAAAAGACAAAGAUAUUAUUAAUAGACAAAAAGACCCUAUUAAACUUUAUUAGGUUGGGGGUUGUUGCUUGAAGUAUUUUAGUAAGAUUUUUACCUUAAUUUUAUUGGGGCGAUAAGUAUUAUUCUAUAUUAUGAGGAAUAAACUAUGAUUGGACUUGUGUAAGAACCUAAUAGUUGGUUAUUAGAUGAAGUUACUAUAGGGAUAACAGCGUAAUGUUUUUAAAGAGUUCUUAUUGACAAAAAUGUUUGCGA
This 429-nucleotide ribosomal RNA is filed under the name Mesomeritius indivisus. RNAcentral's name for it is "partial small subunit ribosomal RNA". Lineage: Eukaryota; Metazoa; Arthropoda; Diplopoda; Julida; Julidae. The record is from RNAcentral.